GGCUGGCGCGGGAAUUCGAUUCCUUACACAUGCAAGCCGAACGGCAGCUCGGACUUCGGUCUGGUGGCGAGUGGCGAACGGGUGAGUAAUGUAUCGGAACGUGCCCAGUAGCGGGGGAUAACUACGCGAAAGCGUAGCUAAUACCGCAUACGCCCUACGGGGGAAAGCAGGGGAUCGCAAGACCUUGCACUAUUGGAGCGGCCGAUAUCGGAUUAGCUAGUUGGUGGGGUAACGGCUCACCAAGGCGACGAUCCGUAGCUGGUUUGAGAGGACGACCAGCCACACUGGGACUGAGACACGGCCCAGACUCCUACGGGAGGCAGCAGUGGGGAAUUUUGGACAAUGGGGGAAACCCUGAUCCAGCCAUCCCGCGUGUGCGAUGAAGGCCUUCGGGUUGUAAAGCACUUUUGGCAGGAAAGAAACGUCAUGGGUUAAUACCCCGUGAAACUGACGGUACCUGCAGAAUAAGCACCGGCUAACUACGUGCCAGCAGCCGCGGUAAUACGUAGGGUGCAAGCGUUAAUCGGAAUUACUGGGCGUAAAGCGUGCGCAGGCGGUUCGGAAAGAAAGAUGUGAAAUCCCAGAGCUUAACUUUGGAACUGCAUUUUUAACUACCGGGCUAGAGUGUGUCAGAGGGAGGUGGAAUUCCGCGUGUAGCAGUGAAAUGCGUAGAUAUGCGGAGGAACACCGAUGGCGAAGGCAGCCUCCUGGGAAUACACUGACGCUCAUGCACGAAAGCGUGGGG
This 745-nucleotide ribosomal RNA is filed under the name uncultured Achromobacter sp. Its description in RNAcentral is "bacterial SSU rRNA". It matches the Rfam family "Bacterial small subunit ribosomal RNA", at positions 26 to 766 of the family's 1533-position model. Lineage: Bacteria; Pseudomonadati; Pseudomonadota; Betaproteobacteria; Burkholderiales; Alcaligenaceae. The record is from RNAcentral.